GGCUAACGCCUGGGGGCGCGCUUAAACCUGGCAGUCCAGCGAAGAGACUUUAUCAGACCCCUUCGGGGCGAAGAUAAAUGGAAUUAUGGGCGGACGGGUGAUUACCACGGGAGUAACCGGCCUUAGACAUGGGAAUAGCCUCGGGAACCCGGAAUUAUUCCCUAUUAUGAUCCUAUUGACACCUGUCUUAUCGAUCAAAAGUCCGGUGGGCUAAAAUGGACUCCCGUCCCUUUAGCUAGUUGGGAGAGUAAAAGCCUACCAAGGCGACAAUGGGUAGCCGGUCUGAAAAGGGGAACGGCCCCUUUGGAACUGAAAAACGGUCCAAACUCCUACGGGAGGCAGCAGGGGGGAAUAUUGCACAAGGGAGGGAACUCUGAUGCACCGACCCCCCGGGAACGAAAAGCGCUUUCGAGGCAUAAAGCUCUUUUAUAUGGGAAGAUUGUGACGGCUCCAUAAGAAAAGGCCCCGGCUAUCUACGUGCCACCAGCCGCGGUUAUACAUAGGGCGCUAGCGUUGUCCGGACUCUCUGGGCGUAGGGGGCUCGCAGGCGGAAAUGCAUGUCAGAUGUAAAAGGCAUUAUCUUAUCUACUGUAAGCUUCUGAAACUGCAUAUCUUGAGAAGAGUAAAGGUAAGUGGAAUUUUUAGUGUAGCGGUGAAAUGCGCAGAUAUUAAAAGGAAUACCGGUGGCGAAGGCGACUUACUGGGCUCAUUCUGACGCUGAGGAACGAAAGCGUGGGUAGCAAACAGGAUUAGAUACCCUGGUAGUCCACGCUGUAAACGAUGAGUGCUAGGUGUCUGCAAAUGUCCUGGCCGCCGCUAACACAAUAUUCACUCCUCCUGCGGAGUACGUGCCCCAGCAUGAUACUCCUAGGAAUUGACGGCGACCCGCCCCAGCAGCGGAGCAUGUGGUUUAUUUCUUACCAACGCCAAGAACCUUACCACGGCUUGACGUACUGAUGACGAACUUCUAGAUAAUUAUACUUCUUCUCAACCCACAAUACGAGUGGUGCAUGGGUGUCGUCGGCUCCUGUCCUGAGAUGUUGGGUUAAGUCCCGCAACGAGCGCAACCCCUAUCGUUAGUUGCCAGCAUAUAAGAUGGGAACUCUAACGAGACUGCCGAUGACAAAUCGGAGGAAGGUGGGGAUGACGUCAAAUCAUCAUGCCCUAUAUGCCCUGGGCUACACACGUGCUACAAUGGCAGGUACAAAGGGAAGCAACAGAGUGAUGUCAAGCAAACCUCAAAAAGCCUUUCCCAGUUCGGAUUGCACUCUGCAACUCGAGUACAUGAAGAUGGAGUUGCUAGUAAUCGCAGAUCAGAAUGCCGCGGUGAAUGCGUUCCCGGGUCU
Molecule: ribosomal RNA, 1346 nt
Filed under: uncultured bacterium
Lineage: Bacteria
Description: bacterial SSU rRNA
Rfam family: Bacterial small subunit ribosomal RNA
Source: RNAcentral